This 492-nucleotide ribosomal RNA is filed under the name uncultured bacterium. RNAcentral's name for it is "partial 16S ribosomal RNA". It matches the Rfam family "Bacterial small subunit ribosomal RNA", at positions 29 to 507 of the family's 1533-position model. The record is from RNAcentral.
AGUGAACGCUGGCGGUAGGCCUAACACAUGCAGGUCGAACGGCAGCACAGUAAGAGCUUGCUCUUACGGUUGGCGAGUGGCGGAUGGGUGAGGAAUACAUCGGAAUCUACUUUUUCGUGGGGGAUAACGUAGGGAAACUUACGCUAAUACCGCAUACGACCUACGGGUGAAAGCAGGGGAUCUUCGGACCUUGCGCGAUUGAAUGAGCCGAUGUCGGAUUAGCUAGUUGGCGGGGUAAAGGCCCACCAAGGCGACGAUCCGUAGCUGGUCUGAGAGGAUGAUCAGCCACACUGGAACUGAGACACGGUCCAGACUCCUACGGGAGGCAGCAGUGGGGAAUAUUGGACAAUGGGCGCAAGCCUGAUCCAGCCAUACCGCGUGGGUGAAGAAGGCCUUCGGGUUGUAAAGCCCUUUUGUUGGGAAAGAAAAGCAGCAGGUUAAUACCCCGCUGUUCUGACGGUACCCAAAGAAUAAGCACCGGCUAACUUCGUG